UUCGCUCAUUCGUACAUGGAUUUAGUUUUGAAAGUAGUGAAACGAAUAGUUUACAACAAAAUAAUAAUCCGCUUCUUGAUAUAUGAGCCACAAGUCAAAUAAAUGUGUGCUGCAGUAGUGAGGGAACGAAACGCGAAGAAUAAGUGCAUAAAAACAUCGGACAUAUCCGCUUGUUCGAAUAAUUUUUGUUUUUGUUACAUUGAUUUUGUAACAUAUUGAUCAAGCUAUUUGAGUGGUCAGAUUCGUAUUCUUAAAUCAUGGAUGAGACGGUAAUGUUUAUUCUUCUUGUAAUACUAGUUGGUUCCUAUAUAGCUGGAAGUAUACAGUUAAUCGUGAUGCUGUCGGAGGAAAAACUAAAAAGUUAAAGGGUAUGUGCUUGAGUGCACAAACGUAGGCUUGACGUGGGACUACUGUGGGUGUAAGGAUUUAAUUCUGCCAUAGCCAUAGUAUAUAACACACACCAAACGUACAAAUACCAAACACAACAAUCCAUGAACACUUCACAAAAAAACACAUACUCCUGUCAUAAACCAUAGCAUACAAACUAAUAGGAAAAAUAAUUAACUUGUUGCCUGUAAAUGUAUUCUGUCAUAAAUAAAUUUACCUCAGAUGAAUGCAUUUUUGCACACACAUACACAUUAUACACACACACGCUAUAUACACACUACUCACAAGCACACGCUCCUCAGACACACCCACGCUACUUACACACGUACACAUACACACACACACCACUUACAUACACACGCCGCUUACACACAUACACGCCACUCACACAUACACACGUCACUCACACACACGUUACUCACACACACAUACAUACUCAAACACACACACAUACACACAUACACACACACAUACACAUACACACAUACACACACACACACAUACACACAUACACACACACACACACAUACAUACACACACAUACUGGUGGGGUCCAACUCAGAUCGAAGGGAAGCCGAACUGUUCGCUUUGACGGUCGACCAGGGAAUGAGCUUCUCUCAACACGAAAUGUCCUUUUAUAGUGUCACUCAGUGUGGGGAAAUUGGGUGAUUGGAGGAAGAACCAAUCACGUGGAAGCAUCUCUGCUUUCUGUUCUCGUCGUUUACGUUGGGUGAUGAGUGCGAUGCCGAUUGGCUGGCAUUGCUAGCCAAUGACUGAAUGCGUGAAAUCAUUUCAUCUAUGUUUCUGAAGUCUGCGUUAGGGAAAUAUACCAAUCGUAUGAAAAAUGAAUGUGGAUAUUCGACCUUCAAACUUUCCCGCAAUUUUCACGGACUUUCCAACGGUAUAUUAACUAUUAAAAUCGGAAUAGUUGUUGGAGCGCUAUUAACAUCUAAAAUCUUCCAUUCCGCCAACCAAAAACGUUACAUGUUCAUUCCAGUUUUCCCAGAAUGUACCUUAGUAUAGUGAAGAAAGACGUAGUCCCACGUCAAAAAUGUGUCUAUUUUUGGUGCUAGGUUGUUGGUAGGAACGGCCCUUACAGUCAUGAUCUCAGAAGGAAUUCGUUCAUUGUACGAUGGAAGCAAUCUUGAAGUUGAACACUGAACAAUAAACACAGCGCUGAUGAGCAUUUUUCUACAAUUGUGCUGGGCUUUGUCUCCAUGAUUGUUGUCGAUCAGAUCUCAUCGCGGCGCAAGGAAGGAUGAUGCGUAAAUUAUCAGACACAAUCUGGUUAACCACAGUUCCACACAACUGUUAACAGAAUUGUAGCUUUUAUUACGCGAAGCAAUGCGGAAGAUACGGAAACAAAAUAAAAUAUUAAUAAUUAGGUAACUUAAUGGGAAAUAAAUCUAUAACAUUUUAACGAUUUUUCUUAUGUUGUUUUCAAAUUUUAAUUUCCGAAAUUCUUAUUGUAUUCUUUUGCGUAGGAACGUCAAAUUAACGAAACUGAGUAACAGUUACUCAGUUUGGCUAAUUAAUGCUGUAUUUCAAAUGAGUAGGUAGUAGAGAUGGUCGGGUAUGGGAAAUUUGUUACCCGUACCCGACCCGUACCCGACUCAACGAAAAUUUUCAAACCCGUACCCGACCCGAACCCGAAGUCUGGUUUGUUUGAAAUACCCGUACCCGACCCGAACCCGAAAAAUAUCUGUUCCAACUACCCGUACCCGAUAGAAAAAAACGCCGAAAUUGCCGGUACCUGACCCGUCCUGGAUUUUUUUUUUAAUUUUUUAUUUCAAAAUGCCUGGGUACCUCGCACAUUUUAUGCACUGAUUGUCAUAUGUGGACUCUAGAGAUGAUGGCCGGAGUUAGGCUAGAACCGAGUGUGCGUGUGAACGAAUGAUAAUGAACCCAGAGUUCCAGGCGGGUGGUCGACUAUAAGGAAUCGGUCCACUAUAAAAAGUGCAUGUCUAGUAAAGCUUAAAAUAAACGACGAGUUUUAUAAACUCAUUAAAGGGUCAAACGAAUUUUGAAAGGUCAAAAUUAAUAUAGUUUAUAACUUGAGAAAAAUUCGAUAAUUCACUGCAUUUGCCAAAAACCUGUAAUUUUGAGUAUAGAUUCGGUGUCAUCGAUAAAUUCUAAAAAUCGGUAAAAAACAGAUAUUUAUGCACAUGCGGCAUCCUUGGUCACAGUACAAACCAAAACUAUGCUAUCGCUGUCAAAUCUCAUAUAUUUGUUUCGUACUAAACAUCUCAAUGCACAGUGGGGAAGCGCUGACCAUCAAAACAAAUGUUUAAACGUCAGCUGUUUCAUAAUAUUUUUCCAUUAUUGAUUUUACAUUAAGGUGCUUAAGUCCAAAAUUUGGGUGCAAUAUCAGAAAAUUUGUUUUUUUCUUUUAUAACAAUUCAAAGCUCGGCAUACUGACGUUUUUUGACAUAUUUAAAAAAAAUAUAUCAUUUCUUUGAAACGCUCUGCAGCUUCAAUGAUAGCUUGGUUUUUUUGGCCUCGAAGAAAAAGUUGAUUUGUAGUUAUUUUUUAUUACCUAUUAUAAUAUAUAAUAUUGUUUUAAUUUUUAUAAAAACAAAUUUUUUUUGCGAAAUUUGGUUGAUUUGAGGAGUUGUGCAAAAGCUACGUAAUCUGUUUUUGUAAAGAGGGCGCCCUGUGGCGUUGCUUGUGGUUAAAGAUCAUAUAAUUCUGUUUAAUAAAUAAAGUGAGGGGAAAAGUGUUAAAAAAUCAUGAGAAAUUAAGUCACGUGCUUUGUGAACGUCCCCAAAUAAAAAGUGGAAUGGAGAUUCGUGUUCAGCACCCCAAAAUUAAGUAAAUACCAUAUUUUUGUCGUACUUAUCGACACUUUUUUUGCUUGACAAGCAUUUGUGUUAAGUCGCCCCACUGGGCAAUGCUCCGCGGUUUUCCUGACAGUUAUGAAAAAAGCCCGACUCCACCCAGGACCCUAACUCACGACCCGUUGAUUAACGGACCGGCGCCAACGGCUUUACUUCCUCAUGCGAUGGAAGGCGUGAUCCCAGAGAUUUUUCGCCUCAGAAAAUCUCCCGGUGUCGUCUAGGAUUGAAUCUAGACCAGUUUGGUUGGUUGUGGGUGGAUCACGCCACCUCAUAACCAUCGACACCGGUACAAGUAUCAUGUAGACAAAGCCCAGCACUAGGGAGAGCACAAAUGUGGAUAAAUCGGCGCUGUGUUUAUUGUUCGGUGUUAGAGAGGUGCCCAUGUAUUUAACUUCAAGAUUGCUUCCAUCCGAGCUUCCAUUGUACAAGGAACGAAUUCCUUCUGGUAUUAUGACUGUAAGGGUUGUUCCCACCAACAACCUAGCACCAAACAUAUACACAUUUUUAGUUUUUCCUCUAACAGCAUCACGAUUAAAAGUAUACUUCCUGCUAUACAGGAACCAACUAGUAUUACAAGAAGAUUUAGCAUUACCGUCUCAUCCAUGAUUUAAGAAUAUGGAUCUGACCACUCAAAUAGCUUGAUCAAUAUGUUACAAAAUCAAUGUAACAAAAACAAGUUAUUCGAACAAGCGGACGUGUCCGAUGUUUUUAUGCACUCAUUCUUCGCGUUUCGUUCCCUCACAACUGCAGCACACACUUAUUUGACUUGUGGCUCAUAUAUCAAAGAGCGGAUUAUUAUUUUGUUGUAAACUAUUCGUUGCUGUACUUUCAAAACUAAAUCCAUGUACGAAUAAGCGAAACAAACAGGGAACUGUUAAAUGCUUAGCUUUUGUUUACAGCAAACUGAUAUAAAACGAACGGUUACCCAAAAGUGAGCAAAACAAAAAAAUACGAAAACUGGGUGAAAGUUACUCAGUUUCGUUAAUCAAUAUUACUCAAUUUUUGACAUGUUGAAUCAAACUACGAAAGUGAGUACUUUCUAACCAAUUUAGAGUAAAAUUGAACGAGCGUGCACAUCUGUUCAACUGAAGAACCAAAAAUGAGACAAAAUCUUUUUAUUUAAAGUAUCGACAUCUAGCGGUGGAGAGAACGCAUUUUACACUCGAAAUUUUAUUACGCUUAUAUUCCAUUCAUUCAUUCAUUCAUUCAUGGCUACUGAUUCAAAAGGCGAACUGAUGGAGAAAGGAAAAAUUAAAUUAAAUAACGUAGAGUCCAAUUCAAGGUUUAAGCUGUCCCUGAGGCAUCUAACCGUUAGAGGAACCGAAAAGCAAAACGUGAGACUAGCUGCAGAGCUCCUCAGUCAUACGACUGCUGUGAAUCUUCACCGACAUUUCGGCGAAUAUCAAGAAGCCAUGCUACUCGCUGAAAUUAACGAAAUCAUCGAUAGGUGGUUUGAUUUGAUGAUUUCCCACCAACUGUACCAAGGUACAUCGAGCAAGUCAGCCUACGGCACAGAUUUGGCUUUACAGAAUAAAACUCUGGAUGAUAUGAUCUCAUUGAUGCAAAAUAUAAGGACUUUAUCGAAAUACUGUUUGCCAGCAGCAACGUCUCUCCAGCGCUCAACCGUUUACGCCUAGCAAUUUUGGGUAAAAAUCUACAACAUCACCUUAAGAGGAACCAAAAUAUGGAAAACGUGUCAAUGGAAGAAGGCUUUUUACUUACUAGCUUGUUCCGGAAAGCGGAUACUGCGAAAAGGGUUGAAGAAACUGACAAUGAAGAGAAUACCACCAUAGAGGUAACAAAACACAGAACACUUGCGGAAACUGAUGGAAUGGAAUACGCACAUGGGUAUAUAGCGCGAAAUCUGCUAGCCGAAUUUCCAGAGUUAGCUAAUAAAACUCGUUUAGUUGAAGAUCCAUUUGAGCAAGGUAUGAAUAAAGAAAACUACAUUCAAGACGUUUCUUUCGGAGGACUCCUCAAGUCUUCAGAUUGCUGGAGCACUAUGGCGAAUCAGAUGGACUCCUGCUUAUACCCCUUCAACCGCCGCGAUGGAAUGAAUUCUUAAUAUUGAUGAUUGACAACACUAUAACAGAAGCGCAAAUCUUUCAAGUUUGUCCUAGUUGUAAGACGUUAUUUAUUGUAGAGUUGUAAAUAAACUAAUUUAACAUGUAGUGAAAAUACUCGAAGCAUUCCGUGCAAAUAA
Molecule: long non-coding RNA, 5427 nt
Organism: Wyeomyia smithii (pitcher-plant mosquito)
Lineage: Eukaryota; Metazoa; Arthropoda; Insecta; Diptera; Culicidae
Exons: 3
Source: RefSeq, a predicted model, not a curated record